Molecule: ribosomal RNA, 253 nt
Filed under: uncultured bacterium
Lineage: Bacteria
Description: partial 16S ribosomal RNA
Rfam family: Bacterial small subunit ribosomal RNA
Source: RNAcentral
UACGUAGGAGGCAAGCGUUGUCCGGAGUUACUGGGCGUAAAGCGCACGCAGGCGGUCUUGUCAGUCUGUAGGGACAGGGCACAGCUCAACUGUGUCAGGCUUAUGGAAACUGCAAGACUUGAGGGCUUCAGAGGGAUGGGGAAUUCCGGGUGGAGUGGUGAAAUGCGUAGAGAUCCGGAAGAACACCAAAGGCGAAGGCACCAUCCUGGGGAGUCACUGACGCUCGGGUGCGAAAGCUAGGGGAGCGAACGGG